This 341-nucleotide unclassified non-coding RNA is filed under the name soil metagenome. RNAcentral's name for it is "partial contains 5.8S ribosomal RNA, internal transcribed spacer 2, and large subunit ribosomal RNA". The stretch from base 1 to 120 matches the Rfam family "5.8S ribosomal RNA", at positions 35 to 154 of the family's 154-position model. The record is from RNAcentral.
GAUGAAGAACGCAGCGAAAUGCGAUAAGUAGUGUGAAUUGCAGAAUUCAGUGAAUCAUCGAAUCUUUGAACGCACAUUGCGCCCUUUGGUAUUCCAAAGGGCAUGCCUGUUCGAGCGUCAUUUGUACCCUCAAGCUUUGCUUGGUGUUGGGCGUCUUGUCUCUAGCUUUGCUGGAGACUCGCCUUAAAGUAAUUGGCAGCCGGCCUACUGGUUUCGGAGCGCAGCACAAGUCGCACUCUCUAUCAGCAAAGGUCUAGCAUCCAUUAAGCCUUUUUUUCAACUUUUGACCUCGGAUCAGGUAAGGAUACCCGCUGAACUUAAGCAUAUCAAUAAGCGGAGGA